CCGAAAUGAUUUUCAUUCUUGUAGAUUGACUGACGCAUGUUAUAAUUUUGGCGCUGCGUGUGUUAUUUUUAAGGAAAUAGGAUACAUUUCAUAAGUGUGGAGAGCAGAGAGAAGAGGAAGUUAUAAAGUUGGGUUUUUAAUCUUACAUAGAGACAGGUUGAUGAUGUCAUCAGUCCUGGCUGUUGUCUCUACUCCUCCUGCAGACAGGGGUCCAGGGGUUCAUGGUGCUCAUCGCAGGCAGGUCCAUGGACCACUUGGAGAUCACUAGGGCAGCAAUUUUACAGACCACGGCACAGGUGUGCAAGUAACUGGCCUCUGUUGAGGGAAGAGACUUCAUUCUGACGGCAAGUAAACUGAAGCCACAAAACUAAGGACUAUAUCAGAUUCAUAUACAGUCGCUCUUUUAUAUUCAUACUUUUGUCAAAGUAAAGAAAGUAUUGGUGUUGUGUUUUCUAAUGUAGUACAGUAUAUAGUAUAGAAGAAUACAUUGUAUUUACACUAAUGUGUAUUAAUGUGUCUGUGUGUGUGUGUGUGUGUGUGUGUGUGUGUGUGUGUGUGUGUGUGUGUGUGUGUGUUUGUCGCCCAGACCACUGACUGUAGAGGCUCUGUCUCUAGCCUGCUCCUCAUCGUGGUCUGCUAAGAGUUUCCAGAGUGCCAUAUCAGACGUCACCUGGAGAAAUGCCGGAGUCGACUUCCGUCACCUGUUCAAUGAAAAGUAUCACUUUGAUGGGGAGAGGUUCGUGGAGGGACGAAAACUCAUCACAGAUGGCAUGACCUCUGUCAAAGCCAGCAUCAAGCAAGUGAACUUUGAGGCAGCAAGACAGAAGCUGGGAGUCAUUUUACACAACUUACAGGACUUCUACAGUCACAGUAACUGAAUAGAACUGGGUAACAGAUUUCCCCAUUCCAAUCUCAUCAGAUCAGACGUGUCGGACAUCGGCCCAGUUGCAGGGAAGUGCAGCCAUGGGGGCUCAUCAGACCAGACAAGAAGGCAGGAGCCUACAGGUGGAAUCAACAAGGACUCACUCGAGUCCAACCAUGGCAACUGGCACACUGCAGCUGCAGAGGUGGCCGUGGCUGCAACCAGUCAGCUGCUGGAGGACAUUAGAGGGGCUGCCAGGGACACAGACUUCCUUAAUCAUGUCAGUACUUAAUCAUAUCAGCAAUGUUGUGAAAGGUCAUGGAAUCUGGCUCGAAGGACCAUAAACAAAAGGACUAGGGUUGGAAGGAGGUGUGGCUUGUAAUUCCUGUAGGUUGGUAGGAGUGAUGUGUUGAGGAGUGGCUUGUAAGGCCUUGGAGAUACUUUUGGCCAUGGAGUGUAUGUGAAUAAGAUCAUUAGUGAGGUCGGACGCAGUUGUUGGGUGAUGAGGCCUGGCUCGCAGUCUGCACUCCAAUUAAUCUCAAAGGCAUUCGAUGGGGUUGAGGUCAUGGCUCUGUGCAGGCCAGUCAAGUUCUUCCACACCGAUCUAGACAAACCAUUUCUGAAUUUCAUUGUUUGCUGUAGUGUUAUGAGUUCCUUUCACUGGAACUAAGGGGCUUAGCCCAAACCCUGAAAAACAGCCCCAGACCAUUAUUCCUCCCACACCAAACUUUACUGUCGGCACUAUGCAUUUGGGCAGGUGCGUUCUCCUGGCA
Molecule: long non-coding RNA, 1635 nt
Organism: Oncorhynchus tshawytscha (Chinook salmon)
Lineage: Eukaryota; Metazoa; Chordata; Actinopteri; Salmoniformes; Salmonidae
Exons: 4
Source: RefSeq, a predicted model, not a curated record